UUGAUAACUGGGCAAACAUACCGAAAGGUAUGGGCGCAAAGUCUCCGGCCUACGGGAAACUAUGGUAGCGGGACUGCGGCA
Molecule: non-coding RNA, 81 nt
Filed under: Desulfobulbus propionicus
Lineage: Bacteria; Pseudomonadati; Thermodesulfobacteriota; Desulfobulbia; Desulfobulbales; Desulfobulbaceae
Also listed under: 1 other name
Description: c-di-GMP sequence
Rfam family: c-di-GMP-I riboswitch aptamer
About the family: GEMM was predicted in a large-scale screen for bacterial structured RNA regulatory elements. Genes associated with GEMM are involved in a diverse array of functions, including chemotaxis regulation, signal transduction, secretion and chitin.
Source: RNAcentral